GAUGAACGCUGGCGGCGUGCCUAAUACAUGCAAGUCGAGCGAACGGACGGGAAGCUUGCUCUUCUGAUGUUAGCGGCGGACGGGUGAGUAACACGUGGAUAACCUACCUAUAAGACUGGGAUAACUUCGGGAAACCGGAGCUAAUACCGGAUAAUAUUUUGAACCGCAUGGUUCAAAAGUGAAAGACGGUCUUGCUGUCACUUAUAGAUGGAUCCGCGCUGCAUUAGCUAGUUGGUAAGGUAACGGCUUACCAAGGCAACGAUGCAUAGCCGAUCUGAGAGGGUGAUCAGCCACACUGGAACUGAGACACGGUCCAGACUCCUACGGGAGGCAGCAGUAGGGAAUAUUCCGCAAUGGGCGAAAGCCUGACGGAGCAACGCCGCGUGAGUGAUGAAGGUCUUCGGAUCGUAAAACUCUGUUAUUAGGGAAGAACAGAUGUGUAAGUAACUGUGCACGUCUUGACGGUACCUAAACAGAAAGCCACGGCUAACUACGUG
RNAcentral lists this ribosomal RNA (497 nucleotides) under uncultured bacterium. Its description in RNAcentral is "partial 16S ribosomal RNA". It matches the Rfam family "Bacterial small subunit ribosomal RNA", at positions 28 to 507 of the family's 1533-position model. The record is from RNAcentral.